RNAcentral lists this ribosomal RNA (301 nucleotides) under uncultured bacterium. RNAcentral's name for it is "partial 16S ribosomal RNA". It matches the Rfam family "Bacterial small subunit ribosomal RNA", at positions 509 to 807 of the family's 1533-position model. The record is from RNAcentral.
CAGCCGCCGCGGUAAUACAGAGGGUGCAAGCGUUAAUCGGAAUUACUGGGCGUAAAGCGCGCGUAGGUGGUUUGUUAAGUUGGAUGUGAAAUCCCCGGGCUCAACCUGGGAACUGCAUCCAAAACUGGCAAGCUAGAGUAUGGUAGAGGGUGGUGGAAUUUCCUGUGUAGCGGUGAAAUGCGUAGAUAUAGGAAGGAACACCAGUGGCGAAGGCGACCACCUGGACUGAUACUGACACUGAGGUGCGAAAGCGUGGGGAGCAAACAGGAUUAGAGACCCCCGUAGUCCCUGUCUCUUAUAC